GGCUGAUAGCUGUUACUUUGGAGGCCCAUCACCAGUUUGGUAAUGUAACUUUUGGAUUGUGAGUCACAUGACUUUGUUCCUUUUGGUAUCAAUCGAGUAUGUAAGCUAAACUUUUGCAAAUUGUAAUCGAAAAUGUAAUGUCAACAGAGUCACAUGUCAGGUUUGGAUUGUAGGCGAGAGUCACAUGUGUUUGGAUAGUAGUAUUAAAGCAAGAGGCACAUGUGUUCGGCUUGUAUUAUUAAAGCAAGAGUAACAAAAUUUCUUAACAUAU
This 271-nucleotide long non-coding RNA is filed under the name Arabidopsis lyrata. RNAcentral describes it as "long non-coding RNA (ALYR_LNC002767)". The record is from RNAcentral. Lineage: Eukaryota; Viridiplantae; Streptophyta; Magnoliopsida; Brassicales; Brassicaceae.